AUCUUUGCGACAGAUUUUGGUCUGUUUUUUCUUCAGAAAAAAUAGUUAAAAGGGAAUCAGGUGUAAAUCCUGAACAGACCCGCUACUGUAAGUUCUACACAAAGUCUUUAAACAUUUACUAAUGCCAUUGUUCGCCCCGGCGAAUGAGAAGGCCGUUUAAAGAUAGAACAAGUCAGGAGACCUGCCACGAUCAUAUAGUUUAA
RNAcentral lists this non-coding RNA (203 nucleotides) under Flavobacterium reichenbachii. The record is from RNAcentral. Lineage: Bacteria; Pseudomonadati; Bacteroidota; Flavobacteriia; Flavobacteriales; Flavobacteriaceae.